CCUCCUCCUCGCCUAGCCACAGUGAUGCCUGCCAUGGCUAUGGGGACGAACCUGCAGGGCAGCCCCGAAAAGCCGCUGUAAACUGUCUGCCACCCUGCACCCGGGAGAGGGCCUUGUAUUCUUCAGUGAGAACCCUUAAGAGAGGCAGAGCAAGGAGCAGCUGUUCCUUUAGAGUCUUUAUGGAACCCGUGUUCAUUGAAGCUCUUCUGGGAUUUGUCACAAAUAUAUUUUUGGUUCGGGUGCCCAGAGUAGCAAAACGAGCCAAGAGCGAUGCUUCCAGAUUGUUGCUGUAAGAAGACCACAUCCCUGUCUGGUUCUCCAGGUAAUCCACGUGCACAGUAGGGAACAUUUAGAAACAGCCUGUCCCUUCCUGUGUUUUCCAAAAGUACAUCCUGAGACAAGGGUUAAUUUGCAGGGAUGUGGUCCCAGGGAGCAAGAGUGAAGGACAGGGGAGCAAACAGGGGGGAGAUGUGUUAUCGAACUGGGCACUACCAGGGGUCACCGCAUGAUUGCUCUUUGGUACUCUGAAGAAUUUUCUGGAGCAAAACUCAGAACUGUCCACCUGAGCAAUGAAGGAGGCUUCCUGACUCCACCUCCCAUGCCUCACAGGUCAGAGGGCCCCUCACAGGGCAUUAAGUCUCCACACUUCUAGGUGAUGACUGAGUGAAACAGUUCUCCCAGGUGGCCCAUAUCUCAGCAUCAGAGAGACGACCUGAAGCAGGUGUGGCGAGGGAAGUAGCUGGUGGUUCACACCUGUGGGAACCUGGUUGCAACCUGCAGGGACCUGGGUUUCUGCAGCAGUGGCUACAAGAGGUGAAGCUGACAGGAGGUGAGGUGAUGCACAAAAGGUGUCUCCCUCACAGGCAUGGGCCUAAGCAGAGUGUAGGGUGACCGAACGGUUGAUGUGCAGACCACACUUCUCCAUGGAAAGCAUUACAAAUAAGUAAUGGCUAGCUUGCUCUGUGGGCCGGCUCACAAACAAACCGCAAUCUGGAUGGAUUAACUGCAUAGGGAAAUACAACAGCAUCAAGGCUUUCACUAUGGAAGACAACAGAAAAACAAACAUAGUGAGUAAAAUAGUAUUUUUAAAGUUCAUCUUGAAUGCUAGUGCUUGAGGAAAGCAGGUGUCCUUGGAGAAAUGGAAUGAGGUAGUUAGGGUCUCGAGAUUGAAAGGCACUUCUGGAUACUUUUCAGAGCUUUAGCAACAGCACCGGAGCAUAAUUGUAUUUACCUCCAUGGCAGAUGCAGGCACGUCCCUUUCCUGGAUGCACUUGGAUUACCAACACCACUUUUAUGUCAUUCAGCCCUAAUUUUGGUUAAUAUUUUGUUCCCAGAUGGAAGGGAGAGAGGAUUAUAAAGUGGAUAGAGAUUUUCCAAUGGAGAAACUCCAACAGGGUUGCAAGGGAAUGAGGAGGAGGAGGUUAGAGAGAAUAUGGGUGGGCAUAUGAGAGGGAGAAUGUCCAUGGGGGAAUUACUAGUUCUAGAUAAUUAUUUACUGUGUACCAAACAACUCAAGGACCACAGCACGGGGGUGGGGGGGUGGUGGCAAGGAUGAGGGCUGGGGAGAGGCGUGUGGCAUAGAAGCACCCUCCUUUCAGAAGUAAGGGGGGGAAGCAAUGAGGAGCCAGCUGCAGUAACCUGUACUAGGAGGCGCUGUGGACCCAGGAAAGCUUGGCUGGUUCCUGCCAGAUGGGGCUAGCAGGACUUGGGAUGGGGGGCAGGGGCAAGUGCAGUAAUUGCUCACAUGAAUGGGAACAUGUUUCUUAGGGUGAUGGUGGAGGGCGUGUGAAUCUCAAAGGUUAAUUUGCAUUUUUAAAAAUGUUAUGCUGAUAACUCACUGCAAUGGAGGAAAGCUUUGGGUGUUCCGUCGAGUCUAGAUUCUCUCUCUGAAAUGUUCUCACAGGUAAAGAUGUAUAUAAAAUGCCCAGAGGAGGCUGUAAUAGAUUUUGAUGCAUAUUUCAUAUUUUCAAGCAUACCACUUGAUCUCACAAACAGAUUGAUGAAAAUGCAGUCUUUAUUGUACAAUAUUCAUGUUUUAUUAAAUGUGAUUACAUAGCAAGUAAGGGAGAACUGCGGUAGCAGCCAUGCUUCAGAGCUGGAGCCAUGGCUGUUUCCCAGAGGCCCAGAUGGGACCUCCCUCUUUGGGUUUAUAACCUUGGGGUCAUCCUGCCUUGGGGAAGUCACUGUCUCUUCUAACUCUCACUCUGCAGGAAAAGAACAGCACUUGCUCUUUUUGAACCAAGCAGAGUAUUAAUAACACAUUCAGAGACAGAGGCCUCAAUCUUAUCUGAGGUAGAAAGGAGUCUGGCUCCUUAUCCAGUCUGCCGCCCUUGGCUUCUCUAAGGAACCACAUAGCCCGGAAUUCGUUGUUCAGUCCACACUCGCAGCUUCCCAGCAAACCUUCCCUCCUUGGAAACCUGAGAGGGUUCGCUUCAAACACGACUUUCUGGGCCUGGAAUCAAAUUGGCCUGGCUCCCCUCUGAUCUCCCCAGUCUGUAAGCAGGGGUCCAGGCAGCUGUAGUAACUCGACCCUGCACAACCCAGCUUCUUUUCUUUUCUUGGACAAGAUUUAUAUGGCGGGUGUAGUCUUACCGCAGACAUUCCCAAGAGAGGCCCAGAACACCCGCGUCACCCCAGCCCCUCAACUCCCUGCAAGUUAACUUUAAGAUGGGUUUUUAGAUAAAGUUGGGUUGAUACUUAAGGAAAAUCGAAUUUGUGUGUGAUUGAGAAACCACUUUAUACAACUUGAUGGAUUACCUGAAACCUUCCUAUGAGAGAGGGGGUGGAAGAGAGCUGAAAGAGUCCAACCUGCAGUCCGCAGUUUAAGAUGCUUUGUCCUCCCCGAUGCUGGAGGAGUGACAGGCUUGGGCUUGGAGUCAGAAACAAACCAGACUUGAGUCCUGGUGACCCCACUUACUGGCUGUGUGACGUGGAGUAGGUGAAUUACCCUCCCUGUGCUCAGGUUCCUUUCCUGGAAAAUGAAGAUACUAAUGUCACGGGGUUGUGGUAAAAUAAUGAAUAUUAAGCACAGCCACUGGCACAGAGAAAGAUGUCAAUACAUGUUAGCUAUUAUUAUGAAGUCAUGAAUUCAUUUAAGCCACAGAGACAAUGGCUUUGCUAUUGUUGUUUGAUACAUGUCCUUUUUGACAAGUGGAUAGUGUCACAUGCUGGGAUAUGAGUAGGGGAACCAAGAAUGAAACCCCAGGCUGUUGCCAAUCCCCACCUAAUACUAGAGUCGAAAUGGGCCACGUGUUUUACUACUAUGUUGGUGGAGGAAGUGCUAAGUGGCACAGAAUAGUAAAUUACAUUGUGCGCAAAGCAUACCCCUGCAUCUGGGGGCUGGAGACAGUUUUCACAAGAUGGCCAUGAAUGCUGUGGGUACAGGCAUACGCUUUCCCAUGACGGGACAUAAGAACAUGCGCAGUCUCCAGUGAAUGCCCUUUUAUUUACCUGGCGAUGUCAGUUCCAGACAGCCCGGGCCUCGCUGCUGAUCUGAAUAGUAAUCAGAUUCUCACAUGUCUCCCUGUCUUUCCAAGAAGCCCAGACACUAAUAGCAUCCCCGGGGAGGGGCUGCCGUUUUCUGAGUGUCCGCCACAGAUGUACAGCUUGCCUUGCUCUUCCUCAUAGGCAGGAGCCAGGGAUAGAAAGGAUUUUUUCAACUUGGCUGGCAGUUUCAUUUGGAAAAACAAAACAGUAUAAGCACUUGUUUCUGUUGGACAUAGUGCAGAGAUGUUUGUAUUUUUAAGCAAUUACUCAAAAUUACUUUCUAUGGAAUUUCCAUUUUAUUUUGUUUAUUUCUAAAGUCACCCCAGAUAAUGCCUACCCUCUACUGAUCUGUAACUCGGUGCCCCAAGAAACUGUGACAACAACCCUGUACUCCACUCUAGGUCUUCUACACAAAGGGCGUUGCGUCGGAGGAAACUCCAGUGUGUACAGACACCCAGAGAAGGGACCUGAGCUGUUUUAAGAAUGGCUGUAUUUUAAUGUCCAUGAAAUUUGAUGUAGCCAUUCUUUCCUUUAGUAUAUAUUUGCUGUGUGCACAUGUGGAUGGAUUGAGGCCCUGCGUCAGGGCUUUCAUUCAAGGCAAGAGUCUGGAAGCUUCAGCCUGAAGAUCGUUUGGGCCCUUCUUGCUGCCCAGGUCCUGGCAUUCAGUAACCCCUAUUAAGCUCCACCCCCAGCAGGUUGUGCUGGGGGUGCAGUGCAGGAAAGGAGGUGAAAUGCCCAGUGAGGAGUUUGGUGGACAAGGAGGCCCUCUACUUAGCGAAGCUUGGGCCUCCCUGUGGACUUCAGGCCCACACCAUGCCUGUCUCCCAGCCCCUGGGAGAAUACAGAUAAUUACUGCAGGGACUUCUGGAGAGGCAUCCAUUCCCAUAACUAAAUUUAUUCCAUCAGAGUUUUUUCUUUGCCUAAGUCUAAUUGGUACAGUCAUUAUGUCAGAGUGAAUGUUGUUAUUUUAGUCAAAAGCAGUAAACUAGGAAAGACAUUCUAUAUUACAGUUCGCCUCUCUGUCCUGGGGUUAGGAGCCUUACGAAAGAAUCAACAAGACCUGACUGUGUACCAUGGCCAGCAUACCAGACCUUCCAGGGACCUCAAAGAACAAAGAGGAAACUGGUCUGUGGGGUUUGCCCCAAAUCAUCAUAAACGAGGUUGUGAAUCUACACAUAGGUGGACUACUUCUGCAUAGAUAGAAAAAUAUCUCUGCACCACUUUCCUUCUUUGAUUUGUUUAUUCUGUUCUGCAGAAUUCCUCAUUGUACAGACUGCUGAGCACAGUAACAGAGAGCAGUGUGUGUUUGUUGAAUGAAUGAAUGAAUGAAUGAAUGAAUGAAAUAUGCAUGUGGCUCCGUGCCAUGGUCGUGCUUCAUGAAGCAAAUUAAACCCUAGCCCCAGCUCUUAGUGAGCUUGUGUCCUGACAGCCCGUCAGGUGUUGGAUAACAUGUACCAAUGAUGGAAAAAAUACAAAAAGGAAUUCAUGUUUAUCCUUUCAACCAGCAACAUGCAUAUCAGAUUACAGAAGAAUUAAAAUGUCUGUGGGUAAAAUUACAGUGCAAAGUUUUAUGAAGUCAUCAAGGUAAAUCCUAUUUUGCAAAAUUGCCACAAGAUUGUGAAUGUUCUCAUGGCCUUAAUUCAGGAUACAUUCCUUAGACAAAGAACAUCUUGGUUUGAUUCCAUUUGUUUUGAAGCCCAUAUUCUACAGAAUUAUUUUUUCAGUGUAGUAUAAAAAUGUAAGAAUGGUAACUGGAAAAAUUAGAUCAUUUUUCCAGAUGUAUAGAUUUUCAAUUGGCAGUUGUAUGGAGGACUGAAACAUGGUUAAAUGUAACCAAUAUUCAUUUAAUGUAAUUUUCAUCUAAUGUUUGGGCCUUUAUGCUUCGGGUAUCAGCUCCCUAUUUUCUUGUUUUUAUUUAAAAUCUGUCACUUAAGACUCAAAUCUCUUGUUUAAGCAUCUGACUCUUGAUUUUGGCUCAGGUUGUGGUCUCAUGGUUUAUGAGUUUCAGCUCCACAUUGGGCUCUGUCAGUGCAGAGCCUGCUUGGGAUUCUAUCUCCCUCUCUCUCCACCCCCUCCCCUACUUGCUCUCUGUCUCUCAAAAAUAAAAAACAAACUAAAAAAAAAAAAGAGACUCAAAUUUCUCCUACAAUGCUGCCCUCAAUGUAUAG
This is a long non-coding RNA of Felis catus (domestic cat), 5654 nucleotides long. RefSeq lists it as uncharacterized. NCBI's taxonomy places the organism in Eukaryota, Metazoa, Chordata, Mammalia, Carnivora, Felidae. The record is from RefSeq and is a predicted model, not a curated record. The transcript is spliced from 2 exons.